Molecule: long non-coding RNA, 3194 nt
Filed under: Mus caroli (Ryukyu mouse)
Lineage: Eukaryota; Metazoa; Chordata; Mammalia; Rodentia; Muridae
Description: predicted gene 17141 (MGP_CAROLIEiJ_G0004244.1)
Source: RNAcentral
GUGAUAAGCAAGUGCAGAGCCACAGCCACGAGGAUAAUGAUUCUUAGAGGAGGGGGGAGCAGCUAGUGAGGAUCUGGGAGGGGAUGUGUGGGGGUUCCCUCACCCCCCUCUCAGCGAACGGCAUACCUAAGGAGAUGCUUGCUUCCAGCCUUUCAAAGGCCUAUGACGAUAACCCGCAAACACGCACCUGGGCUAAGAUCAUCAUGUGGGUGAAAGCAGUUUGAGAUACAGACACAUCUUGGCAGCAUAUCCUGUACCAAGGAGCAGUCCCAGAGCUGUCAGCAGGAAGAGGCUGAGGAAGCAGGCAAACCUCCUGGUGGAGGAGGAGGAUCACAGGGAUACGGGUCUCUCAGAGGUGCAUACGGCAGGUUUGCUGACUCCCGUCUGGUCCUCACCAUCCAGGAAGCUCAGUAGUCCACACAGAUCCACAUCUCAUGCAUGCAGAGAUAGACUUGCCACUCCACGGAGACUACAGUGCCUGGAAUACCAGCCUCCCAUCCUGUUUCCUGGGUCUUGCUUGGUCUGGUCAUACUAUGUACUUCCUGAUGAGACUUUUGGGCUUCUGUGCACCCUGUAGCUGUAGCCCCUCAAGGCUCUGGGUUCCCACUCAAGGCACUACCUCAAAUACAGAGCUCACCAACCUUAAAAACUGAAAAGCCAAGACACCCUUUCAGGGACCAGGUUCAUGACAGUGGACCACAAUUCCAACAGGUAUCAGAAGGUCAGACUGAGACUCUAGGGAUUACCAUGAGAUCUGGUAGUAUCUCACUAUGCCGGGACUUCAGUACCAUCACCUCCUCCUUACUCCCUCAUUAUGUACCCUUCCCUCAUUCCCGCUGGGAAGAAGGUCUCCUCGGGAAAGCAAGUGCACCAGGCUUACCUCUCGGAGCUGCUGCACGCCUCCAAAAAUCCGCAUCACACCGUCAAUCUCCUGCUCCAGGCGCCGGGCCCAGUGCUGCAUCCUGCAAUCCAGAGGAGAAAGAGAUGUCAGGAGGACCUGCUGGAGCUGCAGCUGCAACAACCAAUUCCUGGCCACCCAGGGGGACCAGGACAGCUACUCACUCAACUCAAUUUUCACCAGAGAGGGAACACACACAGGAACCAGAGUGAGCCUGUGAUUUUUCCCUUUGAAGUCUGGCCCGGUGGCCUAGGCUUUCCUUACUUUGACUGGCAGCCAGGGAGGAGAGGAAAGGGCAUUGUGGAUUAGCCAAGGGAGUUAAGCAGGUUGGAAGAAGCCUGCAGGGAGACUAUUGUUCACUAUAAAGACAAGUCCUUAGAUGUGUCUGUUCUGAAAGUGGGGACACCAGGGAGGACAGAGACAAGACAGGUGAAGUUUGAGGAAAGGGAGGGGACACUGCUGUCACCUCCAACCCAUUAUGUAAGCAGGAGGAGGUAGAGGUAACCUGCCUCCUGGGCCUCACCUGAGCAGAAGACAGAGCGCUUCCAACUCAGAUGAUCCUUGCCUUUCUAGUUCCCUGGUAGGAGAUGCUCAUCAGAGACCCAAGGCUGGAUGUCUGCUGUGAGCCCACCCAGGGUUUCAGUACAAAUCAUCCCGUCCCUUUCUGGAGGUCUGGCAAGCAGAGGCUCUGAACUGCAGGUCUGGACAGGUACGCUGGUACCACCACAGGACCAUUUAACACCAUCUCUGUCUCUCUCAGCUUCCUCUUCUGGAAUGUGGAGAUAAUUUGGGGUCAUCUCUUAGAGUGGCACAAGAAAACAUAAGACCAUGGGAGGAUAUAGCCAAGGAUGCUGUAAAGGAAUCUCUGUAAGUGGACAAGACGAACAGGCGUCUGGAUGAUCUCGGCUUUCCGUCCAUCUUAGCAUGCUGGAGCCCCAUAUGGGACCCACCACAGAGACAUAAAGGAGCCAUGGGUUCACAGGCCACAGUGGACUAGGAUGAUGUCAGAAAAGUUGCAACUGUCCCCCAAAACCUAAUUAGGACCAACAGCAUCCCCUAAAAUCACUUAGGGCCAGGACUCUCUUCUGGAUCCUUGUCCCACACUCCUUCUCAGGCCUGUGCUGGGGGGUUGGGCUCAUGCCAUUGUGUGUGCCCGGGUCGGUUGGCAUGGGAACUCAGAGCAGGAGGCGGGCAGAUCACUAAUUGCAAUUUGCCAAGCUGAAUGUCAGGACCGUGAUGGGGGAAAAAAAAAAUCAACAUCAAAAGAAAGAGGUAUUAGCUUCAGCUUGUUGUGGGCUGAGCCACAGCCUGACUCCCCAACUCUGUUCCCCGCCAUAGAGGGAAAGAAAAUCUAACCUCAACUGGUGUAGAGGCCAGGCUGUAAGCUCAGCUGCCAGCCAGGGAGAGACAGGUACCAGAGAGCAUCAGCAUCCCAGCCUGACCCCAGUCCGUCCGCCAGCACUGGUGUUCUGGUCCUGGUGGCACUUGGACAAUGUGGCAGGUGGCUCUUUUGUAAUCCUGAGGCUACAGACUCUUGGGGGUUAAUAAUGGGACAGAGUCUCACACCGUCCUAUAUCUGGACAGAACGGGCAGGGUCAAGGACCCAGCUUCAAAAAGAUCCAUUAGCUCUGCCCUGACCCUAAACCUGACCUCGUCCAUUCAUUGGUUUAGGACACAGACUACCCAUCAUAAUCCCUCCUGCAUGAGUCUAUAGGAGGGUGCCCACUAUGUACAAAGCACAGUACCAGCGUGUCCUGUGCUCUCUGGCUUCGAGCUUCACGGAGGCAAACAAAAUCCCCAAAUCCCAGGUGAGGAAGCUGAGACACUAUCCAAGGUCAUUCAUCCGGGAAGGGGUAGGCAUGAGACUUGUUACAGUUUUCUGGAGUCUCAGGAACUGACACGUGAGAGCCAACCAUGUUCAUCUCUUUCCAGUUCAGCGCAUCAGCUUCAGUGCUUGAAAUCAGCCGCAGUGGGGACACUUACACCAUGGGAAUAGGCAAAGGCCAGCAAUCACAGCCCCACUCCCACCCCAGUGGCAAACAGAGACGCAUCCUGAAAUUCUUUGAGAAUUUCUUACAACGUAUUCUGGUCAUAUUUACCCCUCCACCUCCUCCCAUAUCUAUCCCUACCUCCCAACUUUAUUUAUUUAUUGAUUGAUUUACCUAUUUAUUUAUUAUUUAAUUUUAGGCAGGGUCUUGCUAUGUAGCUCUAGCCAGCCUGGAACUUUCUAUGUAGACCAGAUCUGAUUCACUUGCUUCUACUUCCUGGGCAGAGAGAUUAAAGUUGUGUUCCACCA